Molecule: transfer RNA, 84 nt
Filed under: Archaeoglobales archaeon
Lineage: Archaea; Methanobacteriati; Methanobacteriota; Archaeoglobi; Archaeoglobales
Description: tRNA-Ser
Rfam family: tRNA
About the family: Transfer RNA (tRNA) molecules are approximately 80 nucleotides in length. Their secondary structure includes four short double-helical elements and three loops (D, anti-codon, and T loops). Further hydrogen bonds mediate the characteristic L-shaped molecular structure. tRNAs have two regions of fundamental functional importance: the anti-codon, which is responsible for specific mRNA codon recognition, and the 3' end, to which the tRNAs corresponding amino acid is attached (by aminoacyl-tRNA synthetases). tRNAs cope with the degeneracy of the genetic code in two manners: having more than one tRNA (with a specific anti-codon) for a particular amino acid; and 'wobble' base-pairing, i.e. permitting non-standard base-pairing at the 3rd anti-codon position.
Source: RNAcentral
GCCGGGGUUGCCGAGUGGUAAGGCGCGGGCCUGGAGAGCCCGUGUCCCGUAAGGGACGCGUGGGUUCGAAUCCCACCCCCGGCG